GCAAGAUGUAAGACCAGCUAGCUCUAGCAAACACGCUAAAACAGUGAGGACAUCCCUAUUUAUCAUGAAUGAACCCGACAUGCAUUUCACCUGCCACAAUAGGAUCAUCAGGAGUGCUUAACAAGCAGUGUGGCAGCAUCACCAAUGACACAGGACUAGGGAGACUAUAAUAGUGACCACUAGUGAUCAGACUACUCUUCUUUGACCUGAUCUAUACUUAUUUAUUUUUUUUCUAAU
Molecule: non-coding RNA, 237 nt
Organism: Pelobates cultripes (western spadefoot toad)
Lineage: Eukaryota; Metazoa; Chordata; Amphibia; Anura; Pelobatidae
Source: the annotation of a GenBank genome assembly